RNAcentral lists this unclassified non-coding RNA (425 nucleotides) under soil metagenome. Its description in RNAcentral is "partial contains 5.8S ribosomal RNA, internal transcribed spacer 2, and large subunit ribosomal RNA". The stretch from base 1 to 120 matches the Rfam family "5.8S ribosomal RNA", at positions 35 to 154 of the family's 154-position model. The record is from RNAcentral.
GAUGAAGAACGCAGCGAAAUGCGAUAAGUAGUGUGAAUUGCAGAAUUCCGUGAAUCAUCGAAUCUUUGAACGCACAUUGCGCCUUCUGGUAUUCCGGAAGGCAUGCCUGUUCGAGAGUCAUUAACAACCGUUUCGAUCCCUUUCUUUCAGAAAUUACAAAGAGGAAAAGGGUUUGGUUAUGGUGGAGGAGGGAAAGGGAGCGUUUAGCCUGUAAAAAAAGAGGCUGUGUUCCGCCUCCCCCCCAAAAUUGUACAGGCGGUCGUGUGCGCCCACGCAUCGAGGUGUUGUAAAAGCUGCCACGGCACUUUUCACCUGUGCAGUGCGAGAUUGGCCAGCCGGUUUAAAAACCCCUCCAAACAAUCGAAGGUUGACCUCGGAUCAGGUAGGGAUACCCGCUGAACUUAAGCAUAUCAAUAAGCGGAGGA